Sciurus carolinensis (gray squirrel) is the source of this 1016-nucleotide long non-coding RNA. RefSeq lists it as uncharacterized. Lineage: Eukaryota; Metazoa; Chordata; Mammalia; Rodentia; Sciuridae. The transcript is spliced from 3 exons. The record is from RefSeq and is a predicted model, not a curated record.
GUUUGUGGUCCAGGCAUGGACUCCAAAUGCCCUAUCUGAUUUUGUCAUCCUUUUCUGCCUAAGGGAUGGAUCCGUUCUCCACAUCAAAGCCCUGCAACAAGACCGAGCCUCCUGUUCCAGAGCUGCCACUGACCUGAAGUUGGAUUUUUGUGUGCUCUGCAUGAGAAUCAACCUCUCAAAUCAGGAUAUCUAUGGACAACCUAGGAUGUAGGAAGCCCUGGGUUAGCACUGAGGAUUGUAUGAGCAAGAGAGACCACGCUGGCCUGGGAAAAUUCCUUUUUGCCAACCGCUGUGAACCUGAGGUCUGCUUGAUGGUCAACCUUUCUCCUCGAACUUCUUCCCUCUGUGUAUCUCAACCAGUGACACCACGGCUUUCCUGUCUCUCCUGUGUUCCUGGAAGCUUGAAUUAUGAACACAGAAUAGAGAAGACCAUUUAUGUAUGAGGUGUCAGAGUGCAUUCUACUGUCAUGUAUAACUAAUUAGAACAACAACAACAAAAAGAAUAUAGGACAGGAAUGAACACAGAAACAGGCCUGUUAAUCCCUUCCUUCCUGCAUAUUCUAAGGUACUUACACUCUAGGCUAUUCUAAGCACUGAGCCACCAACUAGCAUAUGUGUACUUCUGAGCCUUAAGGCAGUUGACUCAGAAGCAAAUAUCUAAAACCCAACCUAUUUAUUUUAGGUUUACGAUUGGCUAUGAAACUUGUCCACCAUUUUAUCCCUUAUGUCUAAUUCUCUCCAGUAACCUUCAUGGCUAUUGAUUUCUCUUUUGAUAAUUGUCUUCUGAGAAAAAAAUUUAAGAUUUUGCUUACCUGAUUUUACUGCUGCUUUUAGUUCAAGAGUUUGCUACCUAACAUUAAUCACCUGACUUCCUUCAUUUCAUCUCUACAAUGAACUUCUGAAUUUAAUGUUACAAUUCUAUCAGAAGAAGAAACUAAAGCUCAAAGAGGAUGAGUAAUUUACAAAGGUCACAUCGCUUCUAAGAAAUGGAAGUAAUAUCAAGUCCCUCACGGAAG